RNAcentral lists this ribosomal RNA (164 nucleotides) under uncultured bacterium. RNAcentral's name for it is "partial 16S ribosomal RNA". It matches the Rfam family "Bacterial small subunit ribosomal RNA", at positions 355 to 509 of the family's 1533-position model. The record is from RNAcentral.
UAGGGAAUUUUCGUCAAUGGGGGCAACCCUGAACGAGCAAUGCCGCGUGAGCGAAGAAGGUCUUCGGAUUGUAAAGCUCUGUUGCCGGGGGAAAAAGGAAGGAAAGAGGAAAUGCUUUUACUUUGGAUGGUACCCGGCCAGAAAGUCACGGCUAACUACGUGCC